This is a long non-coding RNA of Lagopus muta (rock ptarmigan), 1485 nucleotides long. RefSeq lists it as uncharacterized. NCBI's taxonomy places the organism in Eukaryota, Metazoa, Chordata, Aves, Galliformes, Phasianidae. The transcript has 3 exons. The record is from RefSeq and is a predicted model, not a curated record.
CUCUCCUUUGUGGAGUUUUUCCUGCAAACCUUGAUCUUUGGGUACAGGGCCAGGGACCUGGAGGCACAAUGGGUUGCUGCUCUCCAUGCUCUGCUGCUCAGGACUGGUUGAUUUGCAAAACAAACCUUAGAUGAUGCUCAGUGCUGCUUCUCCAGCUGAUUGCUGCAUCCUUACAAGUGAGCCCUGCUCACUGGUUUGAAAAUCAUACUUUGUAAGCAUCUACUCCCAGGAGAGGAUUUAAUCCUGAAGGAGUGUGGACUUCUGCCCAAGCUCUGAUGCGUUAUGUCUCAAAGAGAUGGAAGCUUUCAAAUGGAUCCUGAGUUUAAUUUUUCCUGCUGGCUGCCUCUAGAAUGCUCCUCUUGCAUCUUGAUGCAUCUUGUUAUUCUGACUUCUGGUCUUUUAAAGGGUUCUCAGUACUCAAGCAGGAGUUGAGUUUGGCAGGCAUCUAAACAUGGAGUGCUGUGCUUUUUACGAAGAUACCACCAUAUCCCUUAUUUAAUCUAUCGUAGGUAGCUUGAUAUGUAUAUUUAGAGACCUAAGUCAAAGAUAGGACUUUUGCCCAAUGAUUUCAUGUGUGACUUUUAGAACAUGUGACCUAAAUCCAUUCAGUAUCUCAGCCUAUCAUCUGUUUUCUUGGAUACCCUGCUGUUUAUCGUGCCUGGCUCCCAUCUCAAAUUUUUCAGUUUGGAUUGCAAGCUGCUUUAGAUAGAGAUCAUAUUUUUCUGCUUGUCACAUGUUUAACACACAGUGAAGUUCUGUCCCCAAAUCUAUAACUAGUAUCAGAGCUAAUUCUCCAGAGGCAGAGGAUAAGGCCACAAAGGUUGCUGGAGUUCAGGUCUUUUGCCUUUAAAAUUUUUUUUAGGAGGGACCGAAAGCACUGCUUUUUGGAGAAACCAGCUCAUUUUCUAUGAUAGUAGUCAGUCCCAAAAAAUAUAUGUAAAUAGCUUGAAAAAACACCUCAAAUAUCUUGUUGCCAGCAGCUUUAUGAAGGCUCCUGUCCCUGUGCUGGUUCAUAUAUGCAGAUGCGGCACUUGGUGCCUCUCAGAUUGCUUGUCAUUUUAUGUAGAGACUCAGUCUAGCUGCUGUGCUUUCUCUGCAGUCAUAGCCUUAAAGAGCUGGUGAUGCACCACCGGCGAUAACCUCAGCAGCGUUCCAGGGAGAAGCUGUCAGGAUUUUGUUUUCACCUUUUUCUGACUAACUGCAACAUCAGAGUAUUUUACAGAACUUCUGUGGCUAUUCUCUUGAUAAGCAUCAAGGUUUACAGUGAUGAAUAAGUGAGUCAUUCAUUAGUGCAAUAUUUUAAUAAGCUUUUCUCUGAUCCGCCUUAAUGUGAAUCAGAAAGUUAUGAUUGCACUGUACGCUAAACUGAGACCCAGUCACCUCGUGUUUGAAAGUAUCACUUUGUUCUUUCACUCAGGCAUUAAUUUUGGUUUAUCUGUGGAAAUUCAGCAUUUGCAGUACAUGCUCUGUGGAAUUUGUGUAGAA